AUAAAAAGUUUUUGUUUACAAUAGUUAAUAUACUGAUUUCAAUUUUGUUGUGCAUGGUAUUUCAUAAUGUUGUUUUUACUCUAUUCUGCAGUCUCUGUUUGUUCACAAAUAUAGUGGUUCUAUGAUUCUUGAUUCUGCAAUUCCAAUCACUCUGAGUUACCUUAUGUCAACUAUAACUAUGAUCUAUGGCCAACACCUCACAAAAGACCUUCCAGAACCACAAAUUAAUUUGAUUUAUCCAGGAAUUGUGUUGUUCCUAGUUGGUAUCAUUGGCAACUUCUACCAUCAUUUUCUUCUAUCAAAAUUGAGAGGAAAAGGUGAAAAAGAAUACAAGAUUCCUAAAGGUGGCUUAUUUGGGAUUGUGAUAUGUCCUCAUUAUAUGUUUGAGAUAAUUGAUUUUUAUGGGGUAUUUUUCAUUUCCCAAACAUUGUAUUCAUUGAUUUUUGCUAUAGGCACCACUUUCUACUUGUUAGGUAGGAGUCAUGCAACUAGGAAUUGGUAUCUUUCUAAGUUUGAAGAUUUCCCAAAAAAUGUUAAGGCUGUUAUCCCAUUUGUGUUUUAAAUUGUUGUAACAUUAAUCCCUAAUGUGGACGGGGCAUUUGGUUGUGACAUUUAUAAAAUGUUGUAUUGUUGUGCAUGUAUGUUGGAAUACAUAUGUUGAUUUAAUCACGUGAAACAAGAAAAUUGUUGUUUGACGUUAAAAUUGUUUCAUAUAUUAUAUUCUUAUCCAUCAAUUUGAUCCAUCGGUUAUUGAUUUAGAUAUCAAAUUGAUGUAUCUGUUAGAUAAUAAAGUUUUGGGCUUAAGUUGGCGGGUCCUUAUAUUAACAAGUUAGAGUUCAUUAAGUGUUAUUAUAUAUUCUCUCAUAACCUUUUUAAUGUUAAGCCAUUGAUAUUUUAUGAAACCCUAGCCGUUAUUGUUGUUCCUAUUUUAUGAACUAACCUUUUUUAACAUGGUAUCAAGAGCAUCGUUUGAUCCGCCGUGAAUUAUUACUCGCUUCCGCUUUUGUGUUCCCAAAAAUUUGGGAAUUUUGUGUGAUUGAUUUGGUUUAAUUUAUAGUGUUGGUCUUUUGGGAUUUUCAUUGGUCAGGUUUGGAAGUGUCUUUGUGGCUUCAGUGUUUUGUGUGUCCUAAGUAGAAAUCACAGCUUCGGUAUUGUUCAAGUUUUGUGUUUUGUGCUUUGUGGCUAUUGUGUAUUUUGUGGUUAUUGAUCAAGUUUCGGUAUUUGUUUAUGUAUCGCUUUUGUUACAUGAAAGAUUAGUUCUCUUUGUUUAUUUUUUUGCUUUGAUGGGUUAUAAUCUAUGCAACCGGCAGCUGGGUUUUUGCUUAUAUUUUGUGUUGCUAUAUGUUGGCACGUGACAACUACCGAAGGAUUGACUUCCUGUGGUACCUUUGGGGAAGGGUUUUUUAUAAUAUGAUUGAGGUUGGAGAUUCUUUUUGUUUGAGUUUUAUAUUCAUGUCAGUCUUGUUUUUUAUUUAUUUAUUUGAGUCUAGUCCUCUGUUUGUGGGUUUGUUUGAUCUUUUAGUUUUCGUGUGUCUCUCUGUGUUUGUAUUUGGUUAAUUGGUUGUUCGUUUAUGUUUGUCUCUGGUUGCUUUGGGUCAGCUUGUCUUGGUUCGUUUGGUUUUGUUCGUUUUGGUUCUUCAAGUUGUCUUUAUAUAAUUUUGUUUAGUUUGUCUCAGUUUGAUUUGGUUUCGUUUGGUUCAAUUUGUUUGUUUGUUUGGUGGGUCAAGUGCUCGCAAUUUGCUUGUUUGGUGAGUCGAAUUCUCACACUUUGUUGUUUGCUGAGCGUAUGCUCACAAUUUGGUGUCUUCUCCCCUUUUGGUUCUUCAAUUUGGUUGUGUGGUGAGUAAAAUUCUCACAUUUCAUUGUUCCGGUGAGUCGAGUGCUCACAGUUUGGUUUCUUCUCCCCCUUCUGAUUCUUCAAUUUGGUUGUUUGGUGAGUCUAGUUCUUACAUUUGAAUCGACUGUCAACACAGAGAAAUUCAAGAACGAAAAGCCCUUGCAACAAAAGCAGCAGCUUUACCGAUCCUUUUGAGUCCAAACCAAGCAAGAAAUAUCAUCAUUAAAACCAAUCCGAAUCUUUGAAACUGGACAUUGAAUCUUCCCACCAACACGGGUGCAGAUCCAUCAGUCCACCACUCACCGUGACGAACCUCGACAACAGUAAGUCUCAAUAGCCGCAUGAAUUAAUGAUAAGUCAAUAAUUAGUUGGUUUUAAGUGUUUAUUUUACUAAGAUUUUAUGUGUUUUAAAUUACUUUCUAGAACUUUAGUACUUCAAUUUGUUUGUUAUUUAAUUUAAGGAACAAAUAUGGUGACAGAUUGAGUGUUUGAGCAAAAGAUAGGGUUUUGGAGCAUGGUUAAGGAAAGGAAGGAUCUAGAGCAUGAUUCGGGGUUGAUUGAGGCCAAAAAUAUGAAGAUCCUAUGCAAAAAUAUCAGGCGCAGCCAUGCCUGACAAAGACCAGGUCGUGCGCCCCUGUUCAAACAUGCCUUUCAAGACCAAGGAGCUUGACAUGGUCCGUGCCAAGUUGAGCACGACCGUGCCAAGUUCCAAGCUGCUAUGUUUUGUAAUUUUCAGACCUAAAAGCCCAUGGGUUGCUUGCUAUGUAAUAAUGUUUAUGCCUUUUCUUAGGUCUUAAGUUAGCUUUUAGGCUAUAAAUAGAGCAGCCACCAGACCUUUAUGAUUCAUCUUUUGUUCUUGGGAAUUCUCUAUGAUAAUUAUUUCCAUUGAAUCAAAGUUCUGAUUUUCUUGUUUUUAUUUUCUUUGUCUUUAAAAUUAUGCACUUUUGUUUUCAACAAUUUACUUUCAUGUUCUUCUCCUUCUCUUUAAUCUUUAUGUCUACGAUGAACAUUAGUGAGUAGACUUCUUUAUCUUGGGAUUGUUGGAUGAGUCUAAUGACCUAAUCCUAUUCAAACCAAGCCUAGAACCCUAAUUUUAUGUAAAUAUAUUUUUCUAAUCUAAUCUCACCGUUCUUAAUUCUUAUUUCAAAUAUUAACCGAAGUAUCGAAAGAAGAAGGUUACCAUUGGACAUGUGAGAUUAGACAAGGUUCACGAAACAUUAGAAUACUCUAGUAAACUUUGAGACCUUAAAGUUUCGCUCGGCUUUCAAUAACAAUCAACCAUGAGAAUAGGCGUGGUUGUUAUUGAAACACACUCGUUGAUUUCGAGAGAAACCUUGAUAGGCUUUAGAGAAACCGCUCUUUAGAAAUAGAUUUAACGUAAGAUUUAGGUAUUAAGUUUGGAUUGUGAAAGAUUUCUCAUUAUGGCGAACCAAUAAUCCUGAUGCACUUUUUAUCAUUAAUUUACAUCAAUCAAAAAUCAAACCUUUUAAACCUUUAAACUUUCAGUUAAUCAUGGUUAAAAAGAGAAUCAAAAUUACAACAACUCUAUGUUGGAACGAUACUUUUUUAUUACUCCGGUAAAACCAUGCACUUACGGAUUUUACACAUCAAUUAACCAUCCAGAAUAAAGGCCAUGCUUUUUUGAGCUAACAGUCCAAAAUGAAUAUUUGUCCAAGACAUCGAAGCAUUAAUUAUAGAACCGAACCAAACCAACAUAACACCGGAUCAAAACGAAUCAUGAGCAACCAUCGACUAUCUAUCACAUCCCCUUCUCAAAACCAACCCCGACACGAACCACAAGGGAAAGUGUGUAAAAAGCCACAAGCAAUUUAAACAGCUAGAGACGAGAUUGAAUAAUCACACCAAUCAUUUUCCAAUAAAUACCAAGAACGGUGUAUGAACUUGACCGCCAACACGGAUACAGAUCCAUCCACUCACAACUCAUCAUUUCGACCACAACAAGUCUCAAAGCAGCCAUUUCUGGCCUUACAAUCUGAGGCCAAAGAAGAACAUCUGAAUUUGUUUGCAGAACCAACAACCAUUCAUCAUAGAAAGAAACGUCGACAAUCAAUGACGAAUCGGAAGCGAGAUCUCGUAGCUCCAAAGGAAUCUCAACAAAUCAAACCCAGGUAAGAAAAAAGGGUUUGGACUGGAAGGAGAGGGUUACAGGAGAGGAGAGUUUAGAGAGAGGUCAAAGCCUUUUAAAAAUAACUUCAGCACAACAACCUUUAAACUACAAUUUGCAUAUUCAAAUUAGAUAAGUUUUUAUGUCUAUAUUUGACUAUCUUUAGCAUGUAUUUUACAUAAACUAAUAUGAUAGAAUAUUUCCAGUUUGAAAAUUCGUUUUAAUUAUUUAACUAUAGAUUAGAAAUUGUGUUUGUUUACAAUUUUAAAAACUUAAUUGGUGACUUACUACAAAAGUACAAUGGUUUGAUCUUUAGAUGGGAUAGUUUGAAAUGUUUGUGCGGUUGUUCUAACCUCGAUGUGAAAGGUUCCCCAAGCUCCCCUAUGACCUAACAAAUAGAACCCUUGUGCUGAAGCAAUAACACAUUUUUAUCCUAAUCAACAUUCUCUCUAACCCUUAAUUUGGAAGUACCUAACAAUUUGAUUGAUUAAAUUUGUCUGUGUGGACUAAGUAGAGGUGUUGUUUUUGAGCAAUACUUCUGAUCUCUCACAUUGUGAGUUCGAAUUUUAAGGUUAAUAAAUGAAUCCUUAAAGUGUUUUAAUUUGUGAUUAAUAAUUUAAUCAAGAUCCGUUCAUCGGGAAAAACCCAACACUCUCUCCAGAGUUUUGUCGAUUCAUGUUAUCCCCAGUGAUUUGUGAUUAUUAUUUUUAUUUUUGUAUAGUUUGUUCCUAUGUUGAAAUAACAAAGAAGGGGUGACUAUUUUCCAAUGAACGGCGCCAUUGAUCUAACAUGAUAAGAAGAACAGUGGAAGGGGGUGUACCUGUAGACACUGCAACACUUAUGUUAAUGUUUUGAGCAAGAAAAAAGGGUGACAAGUAAAAUAAAUCAUACCUUUAGAGAUUACUUAAAGUACCCUAAUAUAGAAAGGGGAGGUACAAGUGUUGUUGUUAAUGUCGGAAGAUAGUUGUUCAGUAGUUACGGUUGUGUGAACAAUAACUGUCAAACAUUACUAUUUGGCAGUUAUGUGGACCGUCAUGAUCCUGUGUUUGGAUCAACGUCUAAUAUUUCUACAAAUGCCGCCCCUUAUAGGGAAGGGGUGUGAAGCAAGUAAUUAUCCCAAUGCUGAAUUGGGCUUGUUUGUUAUUGGAUUGGACUUAAAUGGGCUUACUCAUUUGGGCAAUCCAGAAUAAAAAUCUAACUUAACCCUAACUAAUCAUCUAGUAAUCUCUGUAUAAAUAUAUGAUUUUACUUUGGUGGAGAAUACAAGAAAUGGUCGGCUGCGCUUCGCCGAAGCUUGAUUUCUCUCUUUCGAUCUGGCUCACUGAAACCUCACUACCUUGUGUUCGCAAAGAAUAAUAAAGGUAGUCUUCCACUCACUCUCUAUCAUUCAUUGAUGAAUAUAAUUUGUUCGCAUAUAUGAAUUGAUUUUAAUGAUUAUGGAGUGGGAUACAAAUCUGAAAUCAUUGAUAUUCUUUCUUAUCAGUUGCAUCUAUUUUUUAUAUAAUUUUCAAUUUUUAAUCUUAUCUUGUUUUGUCUUCACCAGAUCCACGAACAUGGCAACAAAACUUAAUUCAAAGAUUAUCAUUUUAUAUCUCAUCAAAUGGUUAUCAUCAAGAUUUUAUAUAUUUCGAAGCAUUGUUAUGGGUUACCCUAUUGUUUGCUUUGGUAAUGUCCAAGAUAAAGCUCAUUCGAGUGUGAUUUCUUUGAUUAAAUCUGGCAUAAAGAAGACAAAACUUUGUCUUUUGAAAAAGGUAUACCUAGUAUUCAUUAUAUCUUUUUUGCUAUAAAUAAGUUCUUUUUGUUUUUUGGAUUGAUAUCAAAAUAAAUAUUAUUUAUUUUAACUUAAUAUUUUAUUUACUCUCAAAUGAGUAUCAUAAGAAAUAAAUAUAUAUUUUUUAAAGUACUAAUUAUAAUUUGAGUUAAUGUUGAUUUUGAUGUUUUCUCGCAUGUAUAAAAUUAACCUUUGUUAUGAAUUUUGAACUGAUCCAUUAUGAAAUUUAACACGACCUCUAAAAAAAAAUCGAGAUUUGUGCAUAAAUGAAAACAUUAUUGAGUAUCUACUUUUGAAAUCAGUAGAAGUGUCUCCCUUUUAUCAAAGAUCAAAUAAAUAUAAAAGAAAACAAGAUCGAGUAUCUACUUUUGAAAUCAUUAUACCUAGAUUGGUGUACCCAAAUGAACUAAACAACAAUCACCAAAAGUGUCUCGCUGUUUUAAAUCUAAAUCAUUUUUUUUCAAUCGUUGUACUAAUUUUGCAUGCUCAUAAAUUCAAUUCUUCCAUAGCUAAAUAAAAAAUUGAUAAUAUUUUUAACAACAGGGAAUUUUAGGGCAGUUACUUUGUUGGUGAAGGAGGAUUUGGCAAGGUUUAUAAGGGUUACAUCAAGAAAAUAAUCAGGUUGUUGCAAUAAAGCAACUGGACCCUAAUGGACUUCAAGGAACCAGAGAAUUUGUUGUUGAAGUGUUAACACUUGAUUUGACAGAACACCCAAAUCUUGUCAAGUUAUUAGGAUUUUGUGCUGAGGGAGAGCAGAGACUUUUGGUUUAUGAGUACAUGCCGUUGGGAUCUUUGCAGAAUCAUUUGCAUGAUCUUUCUCCCGGGAAAAACCACUAGAUUGGAAUACGAGAAUGAGAAUAACUGUUGGUGCAGCUAAAGGUUUGAAUUAUUUGCAUGAUAAAAUGAAACUCCUAUCAUAUAUCGUGACCUCAAAUGCUCCAACAUUUUGUUAGGAGACGAUUAUCAUCCCAAGUUAUCUGAUUUCGGCUUGGCAAAAGUAGGUCCAAUUGGUGAUAAGACUCAUGUGUCAACAAGGGUAAUGGGAACAUAUGGGUAUUGUGCUCUAGAUUAAUUGUAUCAAAAACUUAGAUCAAACUGUUAGAAAAUAUAUUUAAUGAGUACAAUAGGUGCUAAUUUGUCGACAAGAUUUGUGUGUUUGAAAUACUACUCCUUAUUUUAUUAAGGAGAAAACUUAGGUACAAUUCUCUAGAUGUUUUUCGUAUGGUUCUUAACUAAAUUCAUAUCAUUUCCUCAAAUCCAUAAUUUUCUCAAAGUUUGUUAUAUCCAAAAAAUAUGUAUUUUUACUUAAGAACCAUACGAAAAACACUUAAGGAAUUUGUACUUAAGUUUUCACCUUUUAUUAAUGAUUGUUAUGUUAGAGAUUUACUAGAAAUGCCUUCUUUUAGGUAUAUAUCUUUUUGGUGGAGUUUUUGGUAUAGUCCCUCCAUCUUGUAUUUUCCUCUUCUCUUUUAUCAAUAUAAUUUGGGUUGGUUAGCAUCUUAGUUACCACCCUUUUUUUUGCAAAAAAUAAAAUAAAAAUAUUUAAUGAGUAAAUUAUAUUAUAAUUUUUUGGUUCCAAACUAUAUCUAAACCAAAAUAUAUCUCUUUUGUGUAUUUGAUUUAUAAUCUUUUUACUUUAUUGGCUUAAUACAUGCUUUGGUCCCUUAACUUAUUUUCGGAUUUUAUUUUGGUCCCCUAACUAUAAAGUGUCUCAAUUUGGUCUCUUAUGUUUUUUUUGUUACCUCUUUUGGUCGUAUCCGUUACAUUUUAACUAUUUGAUCUAUUUUUCAAAUAGAAACCGUUGGAUCAUAUACUUUUAUUGUAGCAUACGGUGAAUCAUUAACACCUGAUUAUAUUAAAGCCAAACAUAUAUAAAAAAAAUCAUAUUUUUUUAUAAAAUAUGAAGUUUUUUUCAGAAUUUUUAUAAAAUUAUUUUCAAAAUUAAAAAAAAUUUGAAAAGAAUUAUUUUUUUUACGAAAUUUUUAGAAAAGGACAGAUUCUUUUUUCGAAAAAAAAAACGGUUUUUUAAAUCUCACGAUCCAAUAACGGAUUCUAGCUUUUUAAACGAUAUUAUCACAAUCACUCGACAAUAUCAUUCGUGUCCAAAUGAUAUCGUUAUUUCUAAGGGAUUGUUUAAACAUCGAUUUCCCAAACAUUUAAACGAUCACAAAGUCGAUUGGAUAGUUCAAUCGAAGAUUUCCCAACCGAUUAAAUUACCCAAAAGCAUUAAGUCCUAGAUUAAAAGUGAUUAUCAAAUAUUAACAUUCAUGUCUAGAGUGAUAACUUAAGAUAGAUUGUUAUUCUAUUUCUAGAUUCAAAAGUAUGUGUCCAUAUCAUUUUGAAUCUCAAUAAAACAUUAAAUGCAAGAAUAACAACAAUAUUGAAUAAAUAGCUAGAAUCAUAUAUUAAAUGAUCAAAAGAUUACAUAAUGGCUUGUUUGAAUACCUCAAAACUCACAAGGGUAGAUGUAUGUCUAUGAUAGCUUUGCAAAGGAUGAAGAAAAGAGAUGAAGAUUCCAUGCCGACUCAUGAUAUCUCAACAAAUCUUGGGUAGAAUCUACUCCUAACACCUUACUUUGUGUUUUUCUAUAGAAAUGCAUCUUUCUCUAAGAACCCAAAAAAUCUCCAAAAAUGGUGCCGUUCCUCCAAGAAAAACGUGAUCUCCCUUCUCUGUGUCUAUUCUUCCAAUAGUGGCAUCCUCCUAUUUUUUCUUCUCUCGGGUCAACAACAAUGUUGGGUCAAAAGCCCAAUUGUUUCUAACUUCCCCUUAUGUUUUUCACUUCUUUUUCUUUAUUAUUCACACCAGCCAUUUAGCACAUUAAUAUAAGCUCAUCCAAUUUUUUUCUUUUCUCCUAUUACUACUACUACUACUACUACUAAUAAUAAUAAUAAUAAUAAUAAUAAUAAUAAUAAUAAUAAUAAUAAUAAUAAUAAUAAUAAUAAUAAUAGUAAAAUAAACUAAUUGACUCAAUUAAUAAAUAAAACCACAAUUUAUUUAAAAUGACUCUAAAUGAAAUACUAAAAUAAUAAAAUAGACUAAAAAUUUAAUUAAAAAGACUCAAAAAAUGUGAUAUGACGGACUGUCAUCAAAGCAUCCGUUGCAUUCAAAAUCUGCAUUAGACUAUGAUCAAUAAACUACUUAAAAAAGAUUGAAAAAACCAACACAACUCAACUCCUUUCUUAUAUGUUUUUCUCACUUUCACUCAUCAUUCCUAAGAUGUUUGACUCUGAAAAUUCAAUACCUCAUCUUCAUCAUCUCUAAGGUACAUGUUCUCUAACCCUAUACUCUUUACUUACAUCAUCCACUUCACGCACAAAAUUAUUUAACUUUGAUAUUUUGUUUUAUAUUAACACUUCAUAACGUUAUGAAGUCUGUUAUAACACUGUUUUUCCAAGUUUCAACGUGAGAAAUAUUUUUAAAGUGUAGGAUUAAAUUUAAAAAUAGUCACAAUUCAAACCCCCUUUUCAUGUGACUAUUAUAUUUACUUCAUUAAGCUUUUUGCAUAUAAAAAUUAAAUAGAUCUCAAAACAUAAUUGAAUAAAAUAUUUAAUAUCACAUAUAGAUUUAGUCAUAUCACAUGACAUUCAUGUCUCUUGGGUAGCACUGAUGUAUUGUUAUAUUCUUCUUUGUUUAUAAUAUUAAAUAUAAUAUUUCAUAUUAUUUCCAACACGACAAGAACCUAUAGGGUCACACACAAAAAAGAAAAGUUAAGUAAGAGAUAUAGGUGAGGUGCAAUUACUAUAUGGCAAAGCUAGAAAAUUGGUUAUUAGGCUUACAUAAGCCUAAUAAUGAUUGCUUGACUUGCAAAGAACACAAGUUGUUCUAUAAAUAGAACCUUUGUUCUAUAAGCUAGAAAACGGUUUUUAAAAUUUUUUCCUACAAAAAUAUAUAAAAAUUCAGAUUUUAAAAUUAGAAAAAAAAAAUUUAUUCAAGAAUUUUUAUAAAAUCUUUUCCAAAAUUUGAAAAAAAAUUAUUUUUUUACGAAAUUUCAAAAAAAGGUCAGUUUUUUUCCGAAAAAAAAUGUUUUUUUAAUUGUUUUCUACAAAAUUCUGGAAAAUAUUUUAAUUUUUAAAAAUCUGGAUACAAAUUUUUCUACAAAAUUCUGAAAAAUAUUUUAAUUUAAAAAAUCCAGAAUUCAUCAAUAAAAAAAUUUCAUAUUUUUUUUUAUUUUUCUACAAAAUUCUGGAAAAUAUAUAAAAAAAUUCAGAUUUUUAUAAAAUAUGAAAAAAAAUAUUCCUGACGUUUAUUAAAUUUCGUAAUUUUUUUUUUCAAAUUUUGAAAAAUAUAUAAAAAAAUUCAGGUUUCUAUAAAAUAUGAAAAAAAAAAUAUUCCUGACUUUUGUAGAAAAAAUUAAAUUUUUUCCAAAUUUUUAAAUCUUGGAAAAGAUUUUAUAAAAAUUCUGGAAUAUAUUUUUUUUUACUAAUUUUAAAAUCUGAAUUUUUUAUAUAUUUUUCAAGAUUUUUAAAAAUAUAAAUAUUUUCCAUCUUUUUGUAGGAAAAAAAUUUAAAAAACCUUUUUUCUCAGAAAAAAAAUAUCUGACCUUUUUAAAAAAUUUCGUAAAAAAAUAAAUUUUUUAAUUUUGAAAAUGAUUUUAUAAAAAUUCUGAAAAUUAAAGAAACAUUUUUUUACGGAAAACAACUGACCUUUUUUUGGAAAAGAUUUUAUUAAAAUUCUGGAAUAUAUUUUUUUUUCUAAUUUUAAAAUCAGAAUUUUUUAUAUAUUUUUCAGAUUUUUAAAAAUUUCGUAAUUUUUUUUUUCAAUUUUGAAAAUGAUUUUAUAAAAAUUCUGAAAACAAAACUUCAAAUUUUAUAAAAAAUAUGAAUUUUUUUAUAUAUUUUUGGCUUCAAAAAAAUCAGGUGAGUUAAUCAUUCAUCGUAAGCUGCAAUAAACCUGCAUGAUCCAAGGGUUGCUAUUUGAAAAAUAGAUCAAACAGUUAAAAUGUAAGGGAUAUGACCAAAAGAGGUAACGACAAAAGACAUAAAAGACCAAAUUGAGACAUUUUAUAGUUAGGGGACUAAAAUAAAAUCCGAAAAUGAAUUAAGGGACCAAAUCAUGUAUUAAACAUACUUUAUUUUGUGACAGUUCAAUCCAAAAUAAUAAUGUAUGGUGUUCCUAUCCAAUCCAUUUCUGCCACCAGUAUCCAAAAUAAGGGGUUCUAUGGCGAAUCUUGUCAUGAGGUAAAUUUGUAAACUAGUAUGCGUGUUUGUUAUUUUUUUUCUUUUCAUUUUUGGCAUAAUUGCCCUUUUUUCCCUAUAGUUUGCCAAUUGUACGAUUUUGUAUCCCAUGAUUUUAAAUGAGCGAUUUUGCCCCCUAUAGUUUUCCCACUUUCUGAUUUUAUGGUCCCCGUGACAUUUAGUGCUGAUAUGUCUGUUUUUUAUCAAUUAAUGUGUGUCACGUGUGUAAUUCCAUUUUUUUUUUUUAAAAUUAAAAAAUUAUUUUCAGAUUUUGAGAGAAGGAGGCACGCGAUAUUUCUUCUUCAAAUCUGAAAAAUCACAUGCCCCCUUCUCUCAAAAUCUGAAAAAUACCAUUUUUUUUUAUUUUUUAAAAAUGGAAUCGCACACGUGGCACACAUUAAUUGAUAAAAAAUCAGUAGUAAAUGUCAUGGGGACCAUAAAAUCAGAAAGGGGGACAACUAUAAGGGGCAAAAUCGCUCGUUUAAAACUAUGAGGUGUAAAAUCUCACAAUUGACAUACUAUAGGGGGAAAAGUGCAACUAAGCCUUAUUUUUUUAUUGAUUUGAUUGAGCUCAUUGUAUUGUUGGUAAAUACCACUAAAUGAUAGAAUAUUAAUGUUUAUCAAUUAUAUUUGUUAGUUCAUCUAUUUAUUGAUUUAUUUACCUAAAAUAUUAUAUAAUAUUUAAUAAUUCAUAUUCUUUCGGUUCAAAUCUAUGUAGAACUUAUACUUUAAUUUGUUACAGUCAAUUAGUUCAAUUUCUUGAAUUAUAAUUGGUAUCGACAUGUUAGUGUCCUGUUUGGUAUUUGUGUUGGUGCUUGAUAGGUUUUUAUUGUGAAGUAUUUUCUAAUAAGUUGGCCUUAGCAUAAUAAAUUAUAGUAGCUUGUGACUACCGAAGGAAACAAAAAUUGUCAAAACAGUUUGUACAUGAUGUUGUUGAAACAUAAAUUGUCCAAAAUUCAACUAAUUUUUGUAAAAAUGAGUAUAGAGUUUAUAUAAUGAGAUGAGAUAGGUGUUUGAAGUAUUGCGCGGUCAGCAUAUAUGACUGUUGUAAUUAUUUUGCAUUGAGUAUAUUCAUAGCGCAAAAUGAACAUGCAUUUACAACAACAGAUGUUGCAUGUAAGUUAUAGUUAUAAAGAAAUUUGAGUUUGUGUUGUUUUAAUUUUGUAUCAUUUUGUGUGUUAGUUUUGAAACAAGAGUGAAUUUAUAGAUACAAGAAGGUGAACAACCUACUAGUCAUAGUUUUAAAAACUGAACCGGUCAUCGAUUCGGUAAAGGUAGUGGGUCACUGGGUCAUUGGUCGAAUCACUGUGUCACUGGUCGAACCGCAUGAAAGAAUCAGAUGAAUCGGUCGUACCACCCGGUCUCCAUAUAGUUAUUAUCUUUGUAUUAAAUAAGAUGACUCGGUCUAUGGUAAAACAUAACACAAAUAAAUGUUAAAAAAAUAGAUAAAUUAAGACAAUUUCUGAUAUUUGUUCUUUAAAUUUAAGUUCAUCUACUAUGACAUAAUUAUUUGAUAAAAACACACACGGCGCGCGCAUAUAUAUAUAUAUAUAUAUAUAUAUAUAUAUAUAUAUAUAUAUAUAUAUAUACACACUAUGAGUAUAGUAAAUUAGAAACACUCUCAUAAAAAAAUAAUAAAAACACUUACUUUUAGAAUAUAGGCAAAAUUACACUUUUAGUCUUUUAACUUAAUUUCAAUAACAAUUUGGUCUUUUAUCUUUUUUCAUUUCAAUUUGGUCUUUUUUGUCCAUUUUCAUAUACAUUUUCAAGCUUCAAAUCUAAUAUUCUUAUGCAAACAUAGACGAUGAUCAUAGAUUUGAAGACUAAAAGAUCAUAAGAAAAUAAAAUCAUGAAUUUUAAGCUUAAAAAUGUAUAUGAAAAUGGACAAAAAGAACCAAAUUGAAAUGAAAAAAAGAUAAAGGACCAAAAUGUUACCUAAAAUUAAGUUAAGGGACUAAAACUGUAAUUUUGCCUAUAUUCUAAAUGAUAGCAUGACCGAUCCAAACUGUCAACCGAACCGGCCACCCCACCGGUUCACGGUCCAACCGGCCAGUCCAGUCUGGUUUUCAAAACUAUGCUACUAGUGCUCUAGUAUUUACUUGGAAGACAUCUGCUUUUAAGUGUGUGUCUGAAAUGCUUAUUAAUAAUGUUUUGAAAGAUUGACGAUUGAACAAGGUUAAUCAUAUUGCUAUUGUGUCUCCAAAGGAAUCUACUUUGAAAAAAGGUGGGUUACCUUUCACACAUUUUAUGUAUUUAACAUAAGAAGUUCAAAUUGUUUCGUGAUUAUUAAGGCUUGUCCUCAUGUAUGCAAUUCAAACUAAUGAUGAUAGGAGCAAAAAAGUUUUAUAUUUAAUAUUUUGAAUAUACUAUAGGAGUUUGUUGUAGAUUGAAUUAGGGGAACAUGUGAAAGAAAAAUCCCUUAGUGGAAAUCAAGGUUUAAAGGUUAAAAACGACAAAAAUCGAGAUAAUGAAGCAAACACAAAUAAAGGAAAUAUCAAAUCGCAAAAACAUUGAUGAUUCUUGCUAGAACAAUAGAUUCCGUGAUUCCAGAAUCACUUAUAAAUUUCAUAUUCUAGAUGGUUGGCUUGGCUUAUAUGUAUGUACUGGUUAUCCUCAAAACUCAUCACCUUUUUCUUACAUGAAUAUGUGCAUUAUAUAAAUUGCUACAUUGAAAUUCUAAGAGACACUAUUUGAUUAUUAGACAACCAAAAUGCAAGGAGGAUUACGAUCAUUUUUGUCAAACGAGAAGGUCAUUCAAAAUGUUUUUUUGCAACGAGUCCGCACGGUGAAUCCUCUGUUGCAGCCAGUUUCCUUUUCACAGUUUGAGUAUGCUACACCUGCUUGUAUUGAGGAGCAUGGUUUUGAGAGCACCACAAUUUCAGACAUCUUGCAAGGAAAAGGUAAAGGUGCUAAUGGUUCCUUGCUUUGGUGCACCACAGAUGACACUGUUUAUGUUGCUGUCAAAUCGGUAAUGCAUUUUGUUGGAACUGUUUUUGCAAUUAAUUAUAAGUGUUCACGUGAAAUUGAUGUAGCUCACUAAAAAUGACAUUGUUGCAGAUGACACAAAACAAUGUUGGAACUUGUGAGUUGGUUGUUACAAUAGUUUAUUGAAGUGUUAUUCUUUUUUUUUUCUUUUGAAUUAAUAUUUCCGUUGAUAUAUGUUUGCAUUUAGAGGACAAAAAGAUAUCUAACUGCAAUUGAGGAAUUAUUAUAUUGACUUUAGUUCUUCUAGUUGAGUCACAUUAAAUCUUGAAGUUGAUUAGAUAUAUUGAUGCUAUGGACAAUUUAGACAUCACAAACAAUUUUAUUAUGUCCAAGUCUGUUAUAAUUUGUGACUUUUGAUACUUGCUAGGAACCUCAAUCACGUAGAAAACCAAUGACUCUUUCAAUGGUGAAACUUUUGUAUCUUUGGAGUCUACAAGUGAGGGAAAGGGAGAAGAGGAAAGAAAUAUGAAAGGUAAAUGCUAGUUUCUACUUUUGUAACUUGUUUUUGCUUUGGGUUUUGGAUCUUAUAGAUGUUGAAGGUCUUGGAAUGUAUGCCUAUUAUGAGGUGUUCUAUUUCGUUUGAAGUUUUUUUAUUCACUUGGAUUAUGAUCAUCUUAUUUAUAUUAUGACAUUUGAAGAUAGUACACUUUUGAAAAAUGUUAGGUAUUUGAUUGGUUAGUGUUUCUAGUACUAAAUUGAUUUGUGGUUACUGAUUUUUGCUUAGAUAUAUCAAUGUUUUUGGAAUUGGUUUAGAUUGAAUUUAUUUUAUGAAUUGUUUGUAGGUGAAUUGGGGAUCAUAAAUCUGGUUGUGAUAAAUCAUCUUUUUCAUCUACUGUUUUCAUUUGAUUUACAAUUUCACCAUUAUUUCAUCAUGUUCUGCAUUGUUCAAAAUUUGUAAGUUCUUCAUCCUUUCUUAUUUGAAAUUUUUUCAAGGUUUAGUGGAAAAGAUGAAGCUACCGCUUGUUAAAUUGUUUUAGAACACUGUUUUUGCCUUUAGUUUUUUAAAGUAAUAUUUUUACUUGUGAUUUAUAGUAACUGAUCAUCACUUCUUUGAAAGAGAAACAAUUUAAUUCUUGGAUUUAUGAAGAAGUUGUGCCAAAAUUAUGUAAUAGGAUUAAUUCUUGGGUUUAUUAUUUGAAGUAACUGGACUUGGUGUAAAGCAAUUGUUGUACUAGGGGUUGAAACGAUGUCAAUGUUUAAAUUUUGUGAAUGUUUUUGUAUCAAUAGAUGAUUUUGUUUUAGUGAAUUAUUUUAAAGCAAUGAUAUUUCUCUUGGUUACUUGCAUGUUUCUGUUGAAAGUGACUUUACUAAUUUAACGCUUUUGUUGAUGUAGAGUGUUUGAUAUAGUCCUCUUGGUUGUACUUUUUCUAGGGGCAAAGGAGUUAUGGAAAAUUUGCUGGUAGUUAAUCUUGGUAUAUCAUUGUAGAAUUUCUUUUAAAUUAUUAAGUUGUGCCAAAAUUAUGUAAUAGCAUCGAUGGAUUCAUUUGAAGUUCUUGGACUAGGUUUAAAUCAAUUGUUGAAAGUUGCUAUGAAAUUGAAGUUCUAUGAUAAUAUUUUAUAUUAAACGAUCGUGUAUAAGGUUCUGUUUCAUCACAAUAAUGUUCAGUAUGGGAGAAAGAAAAAAAAAAUUAGAUUUUAAAUUGGGUGACCAGAUAUAAAAUGGAAGAUUUUAAAUCGGGUAUAUUCGAACUAAAAAACACAUGAACUUUUUAAAUGUGGUAACCGAUUUAAUUUAUACAUUUUAAAUCGGGUUACCCGAUGUAUAAAAAGAAUUUAAAUCGGGUCAAAGGAAAGACUUAAAAAUGAAACACUUAUUAAAUCGGCCACCUAUAAAUCGGAUACAGAACCGAUUUAAAAAGUCUUUUUCACCUAAUUUAAAAAGUUUUUUCUACAAUAGUGAAUGGCCUUAACUUUGUAAUGGAGUUUGGAUGGUCAGAUAGAGUCCAAAGGCUUGGUCAAGAAUUGGCUUUAACUUGGAUGGUCAUAUAGUAUAUUAUUAAACAAUUUUUAUUUGAUUAAGUUACAUUAUGAGAAGUCUCUUUCAGUUAUGAUUGAGCAUUAGAAGUCUCUUGCUUGAGUAUUUGUAAUCUUUGAUAUUAUAGUGAAAAUCUCUCUCUCUCUCUCUCUCUCUCUCUCUCUCUAUGAGAUUAUAGGGGAAAUCUCUGCACGCAAGCAUGAUGUAGUAUUUUUCUAUCAAUCAAAAGUAAGUAUUUUUGUGUAUAUUGUCUCCACAGGGACUAGCGCGAUAUUUAAGUCAUUCAACAAUCAAUAAUGUUCUAAGUGUAUGGAUUUAAAAUGUGUGUUUGUGUAAACUAUAUUAACUAUUUGACAGAAAAUUAAUAGAGAAGAGAUAAGGUCAUUUCGCUUGGGAUCAGAGACACUCAACCAAGCGUAACAACUGCAAUCUCACGAUCAAAUAACGGAUUCUAGCUUUUUAAACAAUAUUAUCACAAUCACUCGACAAUAUCAUUCGUGUCCAAAUGAUAUCGUUAUUUCUAAAGGAUCGUUUAAACAUCGAUUUCCCAAACAUUUAAACGAUCACAAAGUCGAUUGGAUAGUUCAAUCGACGAUUUUCCAACCGAUUAAAUUACCCAAAAGCAUUAAGUACUAGAUUAAAAGUGAUUAUCAAAUAUUAACAUUCAUGUCUAGAGUGAUAACUUAAGAUAGAUUGUUAUUCUAUUUCUAGAUUCAAAAGUAUGUGUCCAUAUCAUUUUGAAUCUCAAUAAAACAUUAAAAACAAGAAUAACAACAAUAUUGAAUAAAUAGCUAGAAUCAUAUAUUAAAUGAUCAAAAGAUUACAUAAUGGCUUGUUUGAAUACCUCAAAACUCACAAGGGUAGAUGUAUGUCUAUGAUAGCUUUGCAAAGGAUGAAGAAAAGAGAUGAAGAUUCCAUGCCGACUCAUGAUAUCUCAACAAAUCUUGGGUAGAAUCUACUCCUAACACCUUACUUUGUGUUUUUCUAUAGAAAUGCAUCUUUCUCUAAGAACCCAAAAAAUCUCCAAAAAUGGUGCCGUUCCUCCAAGAAAAACGUGAUCUCCCUUCUCUGUGUCUAUUCUUCCAAUAGUGGCAUCCUCCUAUUUUUUCUUCUCUCGGGUCAACAACAAUGAUGGGUCAAAAGCCCAAUUGUUUCUAACUUCCCCUUAUGUUUUUCACUUCUUUUUCUUUAUUAUUCACACCAGCCAUUUAGCACAUUAAUAUAAGCUCAUCCAAUUUUUUUCUUUUCUCCUAUUACUACUACUACUACUACUACUAAUAAUAAUAAUAAUAAUAAUAAUAAUAAUAAUAAUAAUAAUAAUAAUAAUAAUAAUAAUAAUAAUAAUAGUAAAAUAAACUAAUUGACUCAAUUAAUAAAUAAAACCACAAUUUAUUUAAAAUGACUCUAAAUGAAAUACUAAAAUAAUAAAAUAGACUAAAAAAUUAAUUAAAAAGACUCAAAAAAUGUGAUAUGACGGACUGUCAUCAAAGCAUCCGUUGCAUUCAAAAUCUGCAUUAGACUAUGAUCAAUAAACUACUUUAAAAGGAUUGAAAAAACCAACACAACUCAACUCCUUUCUUAUAUGUUUUUCUCACUUGCACUCAUCAUUCCUAAGAUGUUUGACUCUGAAAAUUCAAUACCUUAUCUUCAUCAUCUCUAAGGUACAUGUUCGCUAACCCUAUACUCUUUACUUAGAUCAUCCACUUCACGCACAAAAUUAUUUAACUUUGAUAUUCUGUUUUAUAUUAACACUUCAUAACAUUCUGAAGUCUGUUAUAACAUUGUUUUUCCAAGUUUCAAUGUGAGAAAUAUUUUUAACGUGUAGGAUUAAAUUUCAAAAUAGUCACAAUUCAAGCCCCCUUUUCAUAUGACUAUUAUAUCUACAAUUCAUUAAGCCUUUUGCAUAUAAAAAUUAAAUAGAUCACAAAACAUAAUUGAAUAAAAGAUUUGAAUAAAUUUGAUCCAACAAUAAAAUAGAUUUUUAUCUUCAAACUUUAAUCAAUAGGUGUUUGGUUAUUUAUGGUAACUAAAGAGAAAUUACAAAUGAAUUAAAACAUACUCUAAAAACAAAGGUUGAAGAGAGACUCCUCCGUUGAUGCUCUUAGCACUUACAUUCCUCUUGAACCGUCAAGUUCUAAAUGAAUAAUUGUGAAUGAUAACCCUUGUACUUGUAGGCAAGUUUAUAACUGAGUUUGGCUUGAAAAACUCGACUUUUUCCUCGAACCCGCGUAGAAAAAACUGCAGAACACUAUUUUUUUUAUCGGCCUCACGGCUGGGGCUACGCGUGCAGUGCGUGCUAAAAAGAAUGUUUUUCAACACUGUUUCACGCACCAGGGACACAUGGCAGCACUCACAAGGCUUAUGUCUUCAUCUUUUAAUGUGUUUUUUUUCUUCUUUUUUCUUCAUCUUUCGGAAUGUUUUCUUCCCAACUUAAAAAAUAUCAACCGUAUAAAUAAUAUACCAUAAAAAGUAGUGGGGGCAGUUGUCCCCAAUCUACACUAAGUAACUCCGUCCCCGCACAUUUCAAUAUCUCAACCUAUCCAAUGUGGAUUAUUCCAUGAAAAAAUCAAUAUUGCUGAUCCGAUUGACAUGUGUCAAAGUUUUUCAAGAGCCAUUAAAAUUCAUUAUUGGUUGAUUAGUUUCCUGGAUCUGUUGCCCAUACUUACUUGUUUUGCAUCUCUAAAAUGGUUGAAUAAAUCACAACAUUUUUAUUCAGAUUUUGGUGGAAGUUUGUUUUAGCUAUUUUAAACCAUUUUUUGUAAAAAAAAAAAAAAAAAACAUUUUUAUAAUAUUUCAUAGAAAACUGUAAACCAUUAAAUUCUUUAAUUCUCAUGAAAAUUUUAAUUUCAAUUUCUACACAACAAAUCCAAUUAUUUGUUUUCAAUUAUAAAAAUCAAAUUUUAAAGUGGAUAUUCUCAUGAAAAUGUUCAAAGCAUAUCUUAACAAAAUGUUAUCAGCAUAUGUGUCGCUCUCUUGGCUAAAACGUGGUCCAGAAUCAUUACCCAAAAGAGAACGUUGAGAUUGUAUGAUUAUUAUCAUUUCAAGAGAAUUAUCCUGAAAAAUGAUGAACACCACGUUUCUAUUAUUAUAUUACUAUUCCAUUAUGGCUAGUCAUUUAUCAAUUGCUACCAAAUAGGGAAAGUAGCUAAGAAAAUAGCAAAAGAAAGAAAGCAUGGUCAUGUCUAUGUUUUAUAAUUUCAUGUUCCCACAACCACCAUCUAUAUUUAUCACAGCCAUGUCAAUUAUAAGUUUUGUUGCAUCUUCAAGUUAUGGUAUUUCUGAAAUUAGAGGAAAGCAUUUGAAUUAUUCCAAAUUUUGGAAUGCAAAUAAUAACAAAACCAAUAGUGGAAAGCAAAUUAAGUUGUCAAGUAAGGUUGGUAUGUUGUUGCUCUAUACUCCUGCUUUUCUAGCUGGUGCAGUGUCCUUUUGGAUCUUUCCUAAUGAAGGUUUAAGAUCUACAAUCCUUCAAGGUGCUUUGACCCUUCACUACUUCAAGAGAGUCUUUGAGGUAAUACUUGAUAUACUUUAUGGUCUCACACCACCAUCAAGAUUUUUCUUUUCUAUAGAUAUUCUAAUGAUUUCUUUCAACUUAAGACCUACAUAUAGUUUUUGUUAUCAAUUUUGAUCUUUAUAUUUGAUAAUAUUUGACACUUAUUUAAUGGAAAUCCAAGUGUUUAGUCUAAGCGAGUUUUGUUUUAGGGCUACUAGUUUUUUACCCUUCUAUAAUAUUGAUCAUUUCGGUUUUUCCUUGUAAAAAAAAUUGUUUGGAUUAUGUCCUUAUAAAUUAAAGAUUUUUCAAAAUACUCAACGAAUGGUUGAAGUCACAUUUAGACCAUCCACUAUGGUGGUAAAAGUGUAUUUGAUGAAAAAAAAAUUGCGCAUAAUGAAGAACAUACCUAAAUGAAUGGUUGAAGUCACACUUAGACCAUCCACAAUGGUGGAAGCAUAACCUACUUAGCACCGCAUUAAAUAGGCAUCCUAUUGUGGAGUAAAAUAUAUGGGUGCCAUUGGAGAAGGGUGACUAUGGAAGAACCCUCUAUCUCUUCAUUUUUCGUGGGACCUAUUUAAUAAAUCUUAAUAAAUUAUAUAAAUUUUGUUGAAACGUAAUGAUAGAGAAUUAUUUGUGGGACUUAUUUAAUAAUUUCUUUUGAGCUGCUGGGUUGGAGAAAAUUGGUGCUUAUUAAGUAUUACCGUAAAGUUAAUGAUAGGGACUCAUAUGAAACAUUUGAGCACCUAAUUUGAGGUUCUCAGUUUUGGAUGGAUGGUCUUAAAGAAUAUAUAGUGAGAUGAUCAAUAUAUAUAUAUAAGGUUUUGCUUAAAAUUGGAUGUCCAUCUCACUUGUAUGAUUUUUCUUGAGUCAAUAUAUAUUGAUUCUUCGAGUUUUUUUUUAUGACCCAACGAUUAUCAAGUAAAUGAUAUUUUAAUAUAUCCUCUAUUCCACGUCAUCAAAAAUUGUUAGUCACUUCAAUUUCUAUUGGACACGUCAUCAAACCUUACAUGAUCACAAUUAUUUAGUUACACACAUAUUUUAAAAAAGGUGAAAAAAAAUAAAAGAAUUAAAUAAUAUAUAUUUUAAAUAUAAUUAAAUAAUACUCAAGAUACAUUAAUUAUUACAUUAAAUAGGUUUAUUAUUUAUUUAUAAUAUAUAUUAUAAAUCAGAUACAUCAAUUAUAAUUUAAAAAAAGAAUAUUUGCUUACAAAAAUAAAUUGAACAUCGUUAAAAAUGUAAAAAGAUGAUCUACAAAUAAACACAUUAGAUCUGAGUUGUUAGCAUAAAACAGGAAAAUGUCUACUAAUAAUGUUGUGAAAUCAAAGUGAUCAGAAUACACACAUAUAUCUGGAUAUGCAACGUUGACGACCUAAUCAUUGGUUGAAUCAAUAUUUGAUUGAAAUUCUAUCAAUCUAAAUUAUCAAACAAACAAUGCAACAAAAAAAUAAAUAGAACAACAACCACACUAAGACAAAAAAUCAAAUAAAACUUUCCUCUGAGAUGACAAAAUCACAAACAUCAAAACACGAAAGAAAAAUAUGAUAUUUAUGAAAACCACUUAUUUAAAUUAAAAUAACGGCAUUAAAAUAUGCACAAAGGUGAUAUCGGGUCGAAAUAUGGUCCAAAACCACCUCUUUUGGAUGAAAGGAGAAGAGAAAACUUAGUGAUACUAUGGAGUUUAUCACUAUUAAAAAAAUUAGAGCUGGUUAGUUUUCUGAAUUUGAAUGUAAAAUAUGUUUUUGAUCCCUAUAAAUAUUCAGAAUUUUGUUUUUAAUUCUUAUAAAAUAAAAUCACACUUUUUUAGUCAAUGUGACAUUUUCGUUUUGCAUUUCUAAGGAUCAAAAAAGUUUAUGAAAAUUUUAAAACUGUUGAUGGAAAAUUUACAUGAACUAAAAUGUGAUUUUUUUUUUUUAGGCCAAAGGGGCAGCAGAUGGAAACUAGCUGCAACAACCUAUAUAUAUAAUAAAAAGAAACCAAUAACAAAAGGAGAAAGGGGACAUAAACCAAAACCUUCUCAAACGAUAAAAGAAACACAAAAAAGGGGAGCAAACCUCUAACCCAUGAAAAGAAAAAAACAAGAAAAGGAAAGCAAAACAAAGGGAACAGGAAAAUAACAGAAAAAGAUAUGCAACCCAAAGAAAAGAACUUGAAUAUUCAAUCUGGAAAUCUACCUUUAGAGCGGGUAUUAUGAACUUGAAAAUCCUUCUGCCUCUUCUUUUUUGUGGCCUUAGACACCACCUCAGUGAAUUCCAUAGAAGCAAAACGGUGCUUCAAAUAGUUGACAGCUGCUGCUCUCUUUUCCUCAUCGGUAUAAAGAGGCACAAUAUCUCCAACAUCAAUUCCUUUUUGAACAUGUUGCCGUAAUAUUUCCAUGUCAUGAGCAAUGUUUGGAUUUAGAACCUCAUCAGAAACAGUCAUUCUAAAAGAAGGUAAACCACACCAAGAUGGAGAAUCUUGAGUGUAGUCCAAAUCAGUGACGGCGUCACUCCAUUGACCAACUAUUAGCAUAUCAGGAUAUUUGUUAAUUCGUUGAUCAUCUCCUUCAAUCUUAGCCAAAUCAGUGGUAUGAACUAACAUUUGAAUUGGUUGCACGACAGAUGUUUCAACAUAAAUGCUAGGAAGUAUCUCUUUCUCAAGAUUUAAAACAUCUGUGCACAACCUCUCUAGAUCUUAUUAUAUUAGUAACAAGGGGGUCUUCAAAUGUCCCAGGUUUGCUACUACCUUGCACUUGUGCCACAUUCCUUUUAGGAACAAAAACCUGUUUGGUUUUUUUAAUAGUGUCGUUUUUAAUAACAACCUUUUCAAGAUCAAUUUUAUUGGCAGGAUCUUCAUUCCAUUGAUCAGAAGAAUGACCAAUAGAAUUGCUAGUGAAACAAAAGUAAGGGUGUUUUUCAUACUCAAUUUCAAUGUCAAAAGUAAAAUUUUCCCUUUCAAUCCACAAAGAGUCUGGAAGAAAACCAGUCGUAUUGAUAUCAACUAGAACGCGUGCAUAAUGACCAAAUGAUUGGUUUAACGUGUGCUGAUCAAUAAUUAUAGGCGUGCCAAUAGCCCCAACAAUCUCAAAUGAAAUUCUAGGUUGCCAAUAUUCCAAAGGAAGAUAAUGAAAACAAACCCAUACCCGACUAUGAGUUUGUUUUUGAUCAAAAGUGUUAAAAUCAACUAAAAUGUGAUUUAAUUUUAUAGAGACUAAAAAUAAGGUUUUGAAUAUUUAUAGUAAUAAAAACGUAUUCAACAUUAAAUUUUAUAAUACUUCAAUAACACUAAAUUUAUUUUAAAUAUUAUUUUAUAGAGCACUAACUUAAAAAGAUAUGCCCUAAAAAAAAAUACUUAAAAAAGAUAUAUCAAGUGUUCUCCUCCACCUUCAAAACCUUUUAUUUAAACAUAUUUAACCCUACACCUUUUUUUUUUUUUUUUUUUGUAUAUAAAUAGAUUUUGUUUACAAUAGUUAAUAUAUUGAUUUUUGUUUUGUUGUGCAUGGUAUUUCAUAAUGUUGUUUUUGCUAUAUUCUGCAGUCUCUGUUUGUUCACAAAUAUAGUGGUUCUAUGAUUCUUGAUUCUGCAAUUCCAAUCACUCUGAGCUACUUUAUGUCAACUGUAACUAUGAUCUAUGGCCAACACCUCACAAAGGACUGUCCAGAACCACAAAUUAAUUUGAUAUAUCCAGGAAUUGUGUUGUUCCUAGUUGCCAUCAUUGGCAAUUUAUACCAUCAUUUUCUUCUAUCAAAAUUGAG
Molecule: long non-coding RNA, 23087 nt
Filed under: Medicago truncatula (barrel medic)
Lineage: Eukaryota; Viridiplantae; Streptophyta; Magnoliopsida; Fabales; Fabaceae
Description: long non-coding RNA (MTRU_LNC004025)
Source: RNAcentral